UUGAACCUGGGCCCUAUUGUAUGCUAGGCAAGUGUUCUACGACUGCCUGCAGCCUCCGUCCUGCUUCCUCGUUUUUAGGGAGAUGAUCCUGGGCUGCCUUGCGUCAACCAGGUGGGCAGCAGGAAGAGUGGAGGCGGUGGAGGGCACUGCCACUGCUGCUGAAGAAGCAGUGAACUUCACUGACACAAGACGGAGUUUGGAAACAUCUCACUUAAGUAAAGUCUCAAGGGCUUCCUCCCUCCUUGUUUGUUUGGUUAUGCGAUCAGGAAGUGGACACAGUCUUCUCGAAUUACUCCUGCCAGACGUUAAAUUAUAUCUCGGAAAGACAACCUUUUGAUUCUUCCCCUCUGCCUUUCAUCAUUCCUGUUAUCACGACAAAGCAGAUCCAACGAGGCCGUUCUCUCACUGAAUUCCAGUGGGGCUAAAAACCAAACAAAGCUAGUUCAGAGGACAGAGGGGAGGCUGGAACAGUUCACUGCUGCUGCUGGGAUUGAGGCUCAGCCUUCUUCAGCACCCAAGUGGACCAGAUGAUGUGAGUCCCAGGUCAAGGGUACCUGAGAAACUAUUGUCCAGGCCUGGCCAGGGACAUGGUGGGAAGGAACAUGGUGACUGUUUUCUACCUCCUUGGGGUUGUUCUCUUCUUGGAAGAGAAGGAAGGGGUCAGGGUCACAUGAUAAUGGGACAAACUACCCUGUCACAUUAAAAUUGGCAAGGUUGGUGGUACUGACUAUAUACUAAGGCAUGGGGAGAAAACUUAAAAUGUGGCUUAACUAUG
Non-coding RNA from Mus caroli (Ryukyu mouse), 775 nucleotides. Lineage: Eukaryota; Metazoa; Chordata; Mammalia; Rodentia; Muridae. The record is from RefSeq and is a predicted model, not a curated record.